CUUGAGCCAAGUCGUUGGGUUCGCUUCGCUUCGGUCGAGUGGCCAAUCAACCGCCGCCCUACGACUGGGAUAACAACGAAGAAGCCGCCUCCCUUUCUCGUCCUCGCAGCUAUGCCUUUAAAUUACCUGAAAUGCCCCAGCGAUGUCUUCCCCGGCCCGUCGUCUGAGUAGUUCCCAUAGCUGGAGAUCUGUCUCGUGAAAUCUUCGAUCCUGUUGCAGCCCAGUUAUUGGAUGCUCUUCUGGGACGAACAAAGGACAAGUAGGCCAUGGAUCGGAUCGUCGGCGGGAAGUACAAGCUAGGGCGCAAGAUUGGGAGCGGAUCCUUCGGAGAGAUCUUUCUCGCGACGCACGUUGACACGUUUGAGAUCGUCGCGGUUAAGAUCGAGAACAGCAAGACCAAGCAUCCACAGUUGCUUUAUGAGGCCAAGCUGUAUAGCAUUCUUCAGGGAGGAAGCGGUGUCCCAAACACAAAAUGGUGUGGUGUUGACGGGGAGGAAAAUGUUCUUGUUCUCGAUUUGCUUGGUCCAAGCCUUGAAGAUUUGUUUGUCUAUUGUGGUCGGAAAUUCUCAUUAAAGACAGUUCUGAUGCUUGCAGAUCAAAUGAUUACAAGAAUAGAAUAUGUGCACUCAAAAGGUUUUCUGCACAGAGACAUCAAACCUGAUAACUUCCUAAUGGGUCUUGGUCGGAAGGCCAAUCAGGUGUAUAUCAUUGACUUCGGUCUUGCAAAACGAUAUAGGGAUUCUAAUACCAAUCGUCAUAUCCCAUACAGAGAAAACAAAAACUUGACUGGAACUGCUCGCUAUGCUAGCUGCAAUACUCAUCUUGGCAUUGAGCAAAGUCGUCGGGAUGAUUUGGAAUCGCUUGGUUAUGUUCUCCUCUAUUUUCUCAGAGGGAGUCUUCCAUGGCAAGGGCUAAAAGCUGCCACAAAGAAGCAGAAGUAUGACAAGAUAUGCGAGAAGAAGCUUUCAACUCCUAUUGAAGUUUUAUGCAAAUCCCACCCUGUGGAAUUUGCUUCAUAUUUCCACUAUUGUCAUUCUUUGACCUUUGAACAACGGCCUGACUAUGGAUUCCUGAAGCGUCUCUUUCGUGACUUGUUCACUCGUGAAGGUUAUGAAUUUGAUUUUAUUUUUGAUUGGACAAUUCUGAAAUAUCAGCAAGCCCAAAGGACAAGAUGUCAACCACGAUCCUCUCCGGUCUCUGGUGGAAUGACUAGUCGAGCAAUUCCAAUGGAUGUCGACAAACAAGCUACCAGUUCAAGCAACAUUCCUCACGCUGAUGGAGUCACAGAACGUAUGGGACCAAGUAAUGCUGCUCGUCCAGCAGUUCAAAUGCAACUUAAACACAUAGCUGAGAGGAACAUAAGUUCUGAUGUUGAUCGUCUUGAUAAGUUGAGGGCUGGAACAAGUUCUGGAAGACCACAUGUACCGUCCACAUCAUUUGCUUUUCCUGGCUCCACAAAGAAACAUGCCUUGAAUUCCAGACAAUCAGGGCCAACUGAUGUUUCACAUGUUGGGUCAUCCAGCAGUUGGCUUCCAACACUGCAGCGCAAUGCUUCAGCCAAGUGACUGGUGUAGAUUCAGUGGUCGGGGUCAAACAUUGAGAUAACAUAUGCUGCUAAAGGUUGCUGCACCGUUAUUGCUGAAGUCACAUCGUGGAUAUCAGAAUACAUUGUGUAUUCCUAUUAAGGCAUCUAAACGAAGGUGGGCAAUCUAAUUUUCAGAUAUCCGGCUUUUGUCUUCUUUGCCAGACUGCAAUACAGCUAUACUUGUGAGAAUGAUGCUGUUAAUAUAGAGGAUUGCUUUUGAAGAUUACCGACAUGGAAUCUACAGCAACUCGGACUUCUCACAGAGAGACGACGAAAACGUUCUGUCCUGAUAGCUUGAAAAAACAGGUCAGUGUUUCAUCGAUGGAGAAACGGCGAUGAUUGCGGAUAAAUGAAAUUAUAUUCGAAAUUAAAGGACCUUUUUCAAAAACAGAUUAAAUGUAGGGUAGAAAUGAAACUUUACUGGCUAGGAUGGGCGAAGUCUCCAUAGCCGUCUGGCCCGACUCAGUUCAUGCAACGAGCAACGGCGACCGCUGCUCUUCGGUGGCUCGUGGUGUAGCGUUUACCCUGCCUCCCAUCCUCCUCCGUGCUGCCUCCUUGGCCCCCACGACUCCCUCCUUGCCCCUCGCUGCUUCCGACCGCCGACGCCAGCUCACGCUCUUCCUCCCUCCUGUCUACCAGACCUGCCGUGGCUACUCGCCUACGCCUAACUCAAGCGAUCUCGCGAGGACGAGCUCUGCAGCAGCGAGGAAGAUGGCGACUGUGGUUCCGACGAGCACAAGGAGCUAAGGACGCCUGUGGAGAAUUUAGCGAGUUCGGGGAGGCGGACCUCAGCGACGAGGCUGCUAAGUCCGAUUAAUUCGCGAGGCUGGCGUUGGUUUAUAUUAUGCCUUGUGUAAGUGCGUCUUGCUCUAGCUUUUCCAUGAACAAACAAUGGACAUUAUCGUGCCUUUUUGCUUCCGAGAAUGAAUCAGUCUUUUGUUUCUGUUAUCGAUUAA
Zingiber officinale is the source of this 2541-nucleotide RNA transcript. It is a transcript of the gene named casein kinase 1-like protein 4, with no coding region annotated. The record is from RefSeq and is a predicted model, not a curated record. Lineage: Eukaryota; Viridiplantae; Streptophyta; Magnoliopsida; Zingiberales; Zingiberaceae. The transcript is spliced from 18 exons.